Long non-coding RNA from Centrocercus urophasianus (Greater sage-grouse), 262 nucleotides. RefSeq lists it as uncharacterized. The record is from RefSeq and is a predicted model, not a curated record. NCBI's taxonomy places the organism in Eukaryota, Metazoa, Chordata, Aves, Galliformes, Phasianidae. The transcript has 3 exons.
GAUCCCCUCUUUUGGUAUCUUCUGGUGAGCUCAACCCAAGGAGAUGGCAUGGGGUGCCUACAGCUGUUGGACCAUCACUCAAUUUAUACUACAACUCAUCGUGCACAGGAGGGGUGCGUCUAUGUCUCAGGCUGCGUGAGGAUGCCAGGACUCUUCACAGGACCUACGUAGUGCUCCACUUCUACUGAGUCCUUGUGACCUGCUGAGCUGAAAAGGAAAAGGAGGAUACCAGACAACAAGGACUUCUCUCUGGAGAGCAGCU